UGAGGAACAUGACCUUCGGCGGGGGAUAGCCGGCCCAACGGCCGGGUAAUACCGCGUACGACCACAUGGGGACAUCCCUGAGUGGUGAAAGCAGCAAUGCGCCGAUGGAGUGCCUCGCGGCCUAUCAGCUAGUUGGUGGGGUAAUGGCCCACCAAGGCAUCGACGGGUAGCUGGUCUGAGAGGAUGGCCAGCCACAUUGGGACUGAGAUACGGCCCAGACCUCUACGGGAG
RNAcentral lists this ribosomal RNA (231 nucleotides) under uncultured bacterium. RNAcentral describes it as "partial 16S ribosomal RNA". It matches the Rfam family "Bacterial small subunit ribosomal RNA", at positions 118 to 347 of the family's 1533-position model. The record is from RNAcentral.